GGUGAGAUGUCCGAGUGGCUUAAGGAGCAUGCCUGGAAAGCAUGUAUACGCACAAAGCGUAUCAAGGGUUCGAAUCCCUUUCUCACCACCA
This 91-nucleotide transfer RNA is filed under the name Buchnera aphidicola (Sipha maydis). RNAcentral's name for it is "tRNA-Ser". It matches the Rfam family "tRNA". Rfam says of the family: Transfer RNA (tRNA) molecules are approximately 80 nucleotides in length. Their secondary structure includes four short double-helical elements and three loops (D, anti-codon, and T loops). The record is from RNAcentral. Lineage: Bacteria; Pseudomonadati; Pseudomonadota; Gammaproteobacteria; Enterobacterales; Erwiniaceae.